GACGAACGCUGGCGGCGUGCUUAACACAUGCAAGUCGAACGGAAAGGCCCUGCUUUUGUGGGGUGCUCGAGUGGCGAACGGGUGAGUAACACGUGAGUAACCUGCCCUUGACUUUGGGAUAACUUCAGGAAACUGGGGCUAAUACCGGCUAGGAGCUCCUGCUGCAUGGUGGGGGUUGGAAAGUUUCGGCGGUUGGGGAUGGACACGCGGCUUAUCAGCUUGUUGGUGGGGUAGUGGCUUACCAAGGCUUUGACGGGUAGCCGGCCUGAGAGGGUGAACGGCCACAUUGGGACUGCGAUACGGCCCAGACUCCUACGGGAGGCAGCAGUGGGGAAUAUUGCACAAUGGGCGGAAGCCUGAUGCAGCAACGCCGCGUGCGGGAUGACGGCCUUCGGGUUGUAAACCGCUUUCGCCUGUGACGAAGCGUGAGUGACGAUAAUGGGUAAAGAAGCACCGGCUAACUACGUG
RNAcentral lists this ribosomal RNA (468 nucleotides) under uncultured bacterium. RNAcentral's name for it is "partial 16S ribosomal RNA". It matches the Rfam family "Bacterial small subunit ribosomal RNA", at positions 28 to 507 of the family's 1533-position model. The record is from RNAcentral.